This 436-nucleotide ribosomal RNA is filed under the name Campylobacter jejuni. RNAcentral describes it as "bacterial SSU rRNA". It matches the Rfam family "Bacterial small subunit ribosomal RNA", at positions 1106 to 1533 of the family's 1533-position model. Lineage: Bacteria; Pseudomonadati; Campylobacterota; Epsilonproteobacteria; Campylobacterales; Campylobacteraceae. The record is from RNAcentral.
UGUCAUUAGUUGCCAUCAUUAAGUUGGGCACUCUAAUGAGACUGCCGGUGACAAACCGGAGGAAGGUGGGGAUGACGUCAAGUCAUCAUGCCCCUUAUGACCUGGGCUACACACGUGCUACAAUGGACGGUACAACGAGAAGCGAACCUGCGAAGGCAAGCGGAUCUCUUAAAGCCGUUCUCAGUUCGGACUGUAGGCUGCAACUCGCCUACACGAAGCUGGAAUCGCUAGUAAUCGCGGAUCAGCACGCCGCGGUGAAUACGUUCCCGGGCCUUGUACACACCGCCCGUCACACCAUGAGAGUCUGUAACACCCAAAGCCGGUGGGAUAACCUUUAUAGGAGUCAGCCGUCUAAGGUAGGACAGAUGAUUAGGGUGAAGUCGUAACAAGGUAGCCGUAGGAGAACCUGCGGCUGGAUCACCUCCUUUCUAAGGAA